This is a small nuclear RNA of Apodemus sylvaticus (European woodmouse), 103 nucleotides long. Lineage: Eukaryota; Metazoa; Chordata; Mammalia; Rodentia; Muridae. The record is from RefSeq and is a predicted model, not a curated record.
UAGCAUGGGCAGCAAACAUAAAAAAAUUGGAUCAAUUGGGAGAACAUUAGCAUGGCUGCUGGGCCAGGAUGACAUGCAAAUUUGUGAAGCAUUCCAUAUUUUA